AAAUCUUUUGCUCCUAGUAUUGAAGACAUGGUUAAAGCCUAAGAUUGAUAAAAGGUAAAAGCUCACACACAUCUAUAUGCAGUGUGACUACCAUUUCAUGCACCAACUUCAUUGCAUAAUUUCAUUAAUCUUUGUUCUCACUAAUUACAACAUUUACUCUUACAUCUACAGGUGACCUCCAAAGACAGCAUGGUGAGCUCCAAGAGCAACAUGCUGUAGUAAACAAGUUUGUGAGAGCUGAACUUCUGAAGGCAC
Molecule: long non-coding RNA, 255 nt
Organism: Scleropages formosus (Asian bonytongue)
Lineage: Eukaryota; Metazoa; Chordata; Actinopteri; Osteoglossiformes; Osteoglossidae
Exons: 4
Source: RefSeq, a predicted model, not a curated record